Molecule: unclassified non-coding RNA, 396 nt
Filed under: Hevea brasiliensis (rubber tree)
Lineage: Eukaryota; Viridiplantae; Streptophyta; Magnoliopsida; Malpighiales; Euphorbiaceae
Source: RNAcentral
UCUGGAUCAUAAUGUCGUCAAGAUUCCUGUCUCGUUUGAACAGAGGCAAGAGCAAUCUGGUUCAGGUAACUCUCUUUUCACAAGACGUUUAUCACGAUUGAUCAUUAACCUAACAAGUGGCAACUUCAAAGAAACCUGUCGCCAAAUUUCUUUUACUGUUCCAUCUGGGUCCUCAUAUUCAUAGUAAUGCUUCACCUUUUUCAGCUCCCUUUGGUAUUCCAAAACCCUCUCCAUGCUUACUUUCCUGAGCUUUUUAACCAAGAACCCUGGCUUCACAGCUGUGUUAGAGUCUACAAAAAUUGCGAUUUUCCUGUAGUCCACAACAUCCUCAAAUGGCAAUUCAAUGUGAUCACUGAUGAUUACAGGGACACACAAGCUCACAAUAGCAUCAAAAAG